This 254-nucleotide ribosomal RNA is filed under the name uncultured bacterium. RNAcentral describes it as "partial 16S ribosomal RNA". It matches the Rfam family "Bacterial small subunit ribosomal RNA", at positions 524 to 776 of the family's 1533-position model. The record is from RNAcentral.
UACGUAGGGUGCGAGCGUUGUCCGGAAUUAUUGGGCGUAAAGAGCUCGUAGGCGGUGUGUCACGUCGGCCGUGAAAACCUGCAGCUUAACUGUGGGCGUGCGGUCGAUACGGGCAUCACUGGAGUUCGGCAGGGGAGACUGGAAUUCCUGGUGUAGCGGUGAAAUGCGCAGAUAUCAGGAGGAACACCGGUGGCGAAGGCGGGUCUCUGGGCCGAUACUGACGCUGAGGAGCGAAAGCAUGGGGAGCAAACGGG